GGAUUAGGUCAUGCAAGUCGAACGAGGGAAUAUUCUUCGGAAUAUAAAUCGAGUGGCGAAAGGGUGAGUAAUGCAUAGAUGACAUACCUUUAGGAUAAGGACAACUUUGUGAAGAUGAAGCUAAUACUUAAUAACACAAAAGAAAAUAAUUUUCAUUUGUCAAAUGGAGGGUAGCAAUAUCUUUCGCCUAAAGAGGGAUUUAUGUCCUAUCAGCUUGUUGGUGGGGUAAUGGCCUACCAAGGCGAAGACGGGUAGCCGGCCUUAGAGGGUGGUCGGCCACACUGGGACUGAGACACUGCCCAGACUUCUACGGAAGGCUGCAGUCGAGAAUGCUUUCGCAAUUCCCGAAAGG
RNAcentral lists this ribosomal RNA (352 nucleotides) under uncultured Planctomycetota bacterium. RNAcentral's name for it is "bacterial SSU rRNA". It matches the Rfam family "Bacterial small subunit ribosomal RNA", at positions 46 to 382 of the family's 1533-position model. Lineage: Bacteria; Pseudomonadati; Planctomycetota. The record is from RNAcentral.